AGAGUUUGAUCAUGGCUCAGAACGAACGUUGGCGGCGUGGAUUAGGCAUGCAAGUCGAGGGAAUGCCCGCAAGGGUGGAACCGGCGUAAGGGGCAGUAAGGCAUGGGUAACUUACCCUGGGAUUUGGCAUAGCCCGUAGAGAUACGGGGUAAUUCCAAGCGAUGUGGCUGCGGGGCCUCCCGCGGCCACCAAAGGAUUCUGUCCUGGGAGAGGCCCAUGUGGUAUUAGCUAGUUGGUGGGGUAACGGCCUACCAAGGCGAAGAUGCCUAGCGGGUGUGAGAGCACGACCCGCGCCAUUGGCACUGAGAACUGGCCAAACACCUACGGGUGGCUGCAGUCGAGGAUCUUCGGCAAUGGGCGCAAGCCUGACCGAGCGACGCCGCGUGUGCGAUGAAGGCCUUCGGGUUGUAAAGCACUGUCGAGGGGGAGAAAGGGCAACUUGAUCUAUCCCUGGAGGAAGCACGGGCUAAGUUCGUGCCAGCCGCCGCGGUAAUUC
This 496-nucleotide ribosomal RNA is filed under the name uncultured bacterium. RNAcentral describes it as "partial 16S ribosomal RNA". It matches the Rfam family "Bacterial small subunit ribosomal RNA", at positions 8 to 526 of the family's 1533-position model. The record is from RNAcentral.